Molecule: long non-coding RNA, 789 nt
Filed under: Phasianus colchicus (ring-necked pheasant)
Lineage: Eukaryota; Metazoa; Chordata; Aves; Galliformes; Phasianidae
Description: lncRNA (ENSPCLG00000015255.1)
Source: RNAcentral
CCACCAUGACCCUACUGGGACCCACUAUGAGCCUAUUAACCCCAUUGACCCCAUUGAGUCCCAUUGACCCCACUGGGCCCCACCAUGACCCUAUUGAGUCCCAUUGACCCCACUGGGUCCCACCAUGACCCUAUUGAGUCCCAUUGACCGCAUUGAGUCCUAUUGACCCCACUGGGUCCCACCGUGACCCUAUUGAGUCCCAUUGACCCCAUUGAGCUCCAUUGACCCCACUGGGUCCCACCGUGACCCUACUGGGUACUGGGUCCCACCAUGAUCCUAUUGAGUCCCAUUGACCACAUUGAGCCCCAUUGACCCCAUUGGGUCCCACCAUGACCCUACUGGGUCCCACCAUGACCCUAUUCAGUCCCAUUGACCACAUUGAGCCCCACUGACCCCAUUGGGUCCUAUUGAUCCCACUGGGCCCCACCAUGACCCUAUUGAGUCCCAUUGACCCCAUUGAGUUCCAUUGACCCCAUUGGGUCCCACCAUGACCCUACUGGGUACUGGGUCCCACCAUGAUCCUAUUGAGUCCCACUGACUCCAUUGAGCCCCAUUGACCCCAUUGGGUCCCAUUGAUCCCACUGGGUCCCACCAUGACCCUAUUGAGUCCUAUUGACCCCAUUGAGCUCCAUUGACCCCACUGGGUCCCACCGUGACCCUACUGGGUACCACCAUGAUCCUAUUAACCCCAUUGACCCCAUUGAGUCCCAUUGACCCCACUGGGUCCCACCAUGAUCCUAUUGAGUCCCAUUGACCACAUUGAGCCCCACUGACCCCAUUGGGUCCUAU